GAUGAACGCUAGCGGGAGGCUUAACACAUGCAAGUCGAGGGGCAGCAUAGGGUAGCAAUACUCUGAUGGCGACCGGCAAACGGGUGAGUAACGCGUAUGCAACCUACCCUGUACAGGGGGAUAACCCGGAGAAAUUCGGACUAAUAUACCCGUAAUAAUAUCCGGAGGCAUCUUUGGAUAUUUAAAGUUCCGACGGUACGGGAUGGGCAUGCGUAACAUUAGCUGGUUGGUAAGGUAACGGCUUACCAAGGCUAUGAUGUUUAGGGGUCCUGAGAGGGUGGUCCCCCACACUGGUACUGAGACACGGACCAGACUCCUACGGGAGGCAGCAGUGAGGAAUAUUGGUCAAUGGGCGCAAGCCUGAACCAGCCAUCCCGCGUGCAGGAAGACGGCCCUAUGGGUUGUAAACUGCUUUUCCAGGGAGAGAAACUUACGCACGUGUUGCGUGACUGACGGUACCCUGGGAAUAAGCAUCGGCUAACUCCGUGCCAGCAGCCGCGUAAACA
This 506-nucleotide ribosomal RNA is filed under the name uncultured bacterium. Its description in RNAcentral is "bacterial SSU rRNA". It matches the Rfam family "Bacterial small subunit ribosomal RNA", at positions 28 to 525 of the family's 1533-position model. The record is from RNAcentral.